UACGUAGGGGGCAAGCGUUGUCCGGAAUCAUUGGGCGUAAAGAGCGUGUAGGUGGCUCGGUAAGUCCGCUGUGAAAGUCCAGGGCUCAACCCUGGAAUGCCGGUGGAUACUGUCGGGCUAGAGUCCGGGAGAGGCAAGUGGAAUUCCUGGUGUAGCGGUGAAAUGCGCAGAUAUCAGGAGGAACACCAACGGCGAAGGCAGCUUGCUGGGACGGUACUGACACUGAGACGCGAAAGCGUGGGGAGCAAACAGG
RNAcentral lists this ribosomal RNA (253 nucleotides) under uncultured bacterium. RNAcentral describes it as "partial 16S ribosomal RNA". It matches the Rfam family "Bacterial small subunit ribosomal RNA", at positions 524 to 776 of the family's 1533-position model. The record is from RNAcentral.